GAUGAACGCUGGCGGCGUGCCUAAUACAUGCAAGUCGAGCGAACGGGCGAGAAGCUUGCUUCUCUGAUGUUAGCGGCGGACGGGUGAGUAACACGUGGAUAACCUACCUAUAAGACUGGGAUAACUUCGGGAAACCGGAGCUAAUACCGGAUAAUAUUUUGAACCGCAUGGUUCAAAAGUGAAAGACGGUCUUGCUGUCACUUAUAGAUGGAUCCGCGCUGCAUUAGCUAGUUGGUAAGGUAACGGCUUACCAAGGCAACGAUGCAUAGCCGACCUGAGAGGGUGAUCGGCCACACCGGAACUGAGACACGGUCCAGACUCCUACGGGAGGCAGCAGUAGGGAAUCUUCCGCAAUGGGCGAAAGCCUGACGGAGCAACGCCGCGUGAGUGAUGAAGGUCUUCGGAUCGUAAAACUCUGUUAUUAGGGAAGAACAUAUGUGUAAGUAACUGUGCACAUCUUGACGGUACCUAAUCAGAAAGCCACGGCUAACUACGUG
Molecule: ribosomal RNA, 497 nt
Filed under: uncultured bacterium
Lineage: Bacteria
Description: partial 16S ribosomal RNA
Rfam family: Bacterial small subunit ribosomal RNA
Source: RNAcentral